GGAAUAUUGCACAAUGGGCGCAAGCCUGAUGCAGCGAUGCCGCGUGAGGGAAGAAGGUUUUAGGAUUGUAAACCUCUGUCUUCAGGGACGAUAAUGACGGUACCUGAGGAGGAAGCUCCGGCUAACUACGUGCCAGCAGCCGCGGUAAUACGUAGGGAGCGAGCGUUGUCCGGAAUUACUGGGUGUAAAGGGAGUGUAGGCGGGACUGCAAGUCAGAUGUGAAAUGUAGGGGCUCAACCCCUGAACUGCAUUUGAAACUGCGGAUCUUGAGUGAAGUAGAGGUAAGCGGAAUUCCUAGUGUAGCGGUGAAAUGCGUAGAUAUUAGGAGGAACACCAGUGGCGAAGGCGGCUUACUGGGCUUUAACUGACGCUGAGGCUCGAAAGCGUGGGGAGCAAACA
Molecule: ribosomal RNA, 399 nt
Filed under: uncultured bacterium
Lineage: Bacteria
Description: bacterial SSU rRNA
Rfam family: Bacterial small subunit ribosomal RNA
Source: RNAcentral